This 254-nucleotide ribosomal RNA is filed under the name uncultured bacterium. RNAcentral describes it as "partial 16S ribosomal RNA". It matches the Rfam family "Bacterial small subunit ribosomal RNA", at positions 524 to 776 of the family's 1533-position model. The record is from RNAcentral.
CACGUAGGGGGCGAGCGUUGUCCGGAUUUAUUGGGCGUAAAGAGCUCGUAGGCGGCUCGGUAAGUCGGGUGUGAAAUUUCGAGGCUCAACCUCGAAACGCCACCCGAUACUGCUGUGGCUAGAGUCCGGUAGGGGAGCGUGGAAUUCCUGGUGUAGCGGUGAAAUGCGCAGAUAUCAGGAAGAACACCCGUGGCGAAGGCGGUUCUCUGGGACGGUACUGACGCUGAGACGCGAAAGCGUGGGGAGCGAACAGG